Molecule: ribosomal RNA, 427 nt
Filed under: uncultured bacterium
Lineage: Bacteria
Description: bacterial SSU rRNA
Rfam family: Bacterial small subunit ribosomal RNA
Source: RNAcentral
UAGGGAAUAUUGGACAAUGGGGGCAACCCUGAUCCAGCCAUGCCGCGUGAGUGAAGAAGGCCCUCGGGUUGUAAAGCUCUUUUGUCCGGAAAGAAAAGCUUCGGGUUAAUACCCCGGGGUUCUGACGGUACCGGAAGAAUAAGCACCGGCUAACUUCGUGCCAGCAGCCGCGGUAAUACGAAGGGUGCAAGCGUUACUCGGAAUUACUGGGCGUAAAGCGUGCGUAGGUGGUUGUUUAAGUCUGAUGUGAAAGCCCUGGGCUCAACCUGGGAAUGGCAUUGGAAACUGGGCAGCUAGAGUGCGGUAGAGGGUAGUGGAAUUCCCGGUGUAGCAGUGAAACGCGUAGAGAUCGGGAGGAACAUCUGUGGCGAAGGCGACUGCCUGGACCAGCACUGACACUGAGGCACGAAAGCGUGGGGAGCAAACA